ACGCUCGACACCUACAGGAGGCAGCAGUAGGGAAUCUUCCACAAUGGGCGCAAGCCUGAUGGAGCAACACCGCGUGAGUGAAGAAGGGUUUCGGCUCGUAAAGCUCUGUUGUUGGAGAAGAACGUGCGUGAGAGUAACUGUUCACGCAGUGACGGUAUCCAACCAGAAAGUCACGGCUAACUACGUGCCAUCAGCCGCGGUAAUCUGAGCGGGCUGGCAAGGC
RNAcentral lists this ribosomal RNA (223 nucleotides) under uncultured bacterium. Its description in RNAcentral is "partial 16S ribosomal RNA". It matches the Rfam family "Bacterial small subunit ribosomal RNA", at positions 328 to 539 of the family's 1533-position model. The record is from RNAcentral.